CCCGCUGAACUUAAGCAUAUCAAUAAGCGGAGGAAAAGAAACUAACAAGGAUUCCCCUAGUAACGGCGAGUGAAGAGGGAAAAGCUCAAAUUUGUAAUCUGGCGGUCUCUGGCCGUCCGAGUUGUAAUUUGGAGAGGCGUUUUCCGCGUCGGACCACGUACAAGUCCCCUGGAACGGGGCGUCGUAGAGGGUGAGAAUCCCGUUCACGACGUGGACUGCCGAUGCUAUGUGAUGCGCCCUCGAAGAGUCGAGUUGUUUGAGAAUGCAGCUCAAAAUGGGUGGUAAAUUCCAUCUAAAGCUAAAUAUUGGCGAGAGACCGAUAGCGAACAAGUACCGUGAGGGAAAGAUGAAAAGAACUUUGGAAAGAGAGUUAAACAGUACGUGAAAUUGCUGAAAGGGAAACGCUUGGAGUCAGUCGCUUCGUCGGGGAUUCAGCCGGGCUUCUGUUCGGUGUACUAUCAGGGUGAGGGGUCACUGUCGAUUUCUGUUGCGCGAAAUAAGCGUGAGGAAGGUGGGACCUUCCGGUGUGUUAUAACCUUCCGUCAUAACCGUGACUGGGAUCGAGGACCGGAGCGCGCCCUCAAGGGUUUAAGGUUCGCCUCUUAACACCCGCUUUAGAAGCUUGGGUUAAUGGGUUUUAAGGAACCGGUCUUGUAACACGGAGGGGGGAAUUAUCGGCCGGCUAAUUUAAUUUCGCCCCAUGGGGAGUGCGGAUCUAAAUUUAAUUGGCCUGCCGUUUUUAUACUACGGGACUUGGAAAAAACAAAGCCUUUACCUUUCCUAAAUUUCUUUGGGUGAGAAGCCCCCCCUUCCCUCUCCUCGCCGAUUUUAAUUUAAGGCCCCACCCCCGCUCCCCCCUUCCCAAAAGGUUGGGGGCUGUUUAACAGAAGUGCAGUGUUUAGGGUUUACACUUUAAAAAAAAAAA
RNAcentral lists this ribosomal RNA (925 nucleotides) under uncultured fungus. Its description in RNAcentral is "partial 28S ribosomal RNA". The stretch from base 1 to 662 matches the Rfam family "Eukaryotic large subunit ribosomal RNA", at positions 24 to 664 of the family's 3401-position model. Lineage: Eukaryota; Fungi. The record is from RNAcentral.